GUCCACGCCCUAAAACGGUGCACACUAGGUCUUGGCGGAUUCGACCCCACCAGGGCCCAAGCUAACGCGUUAAGUGUGCCGCCUGAGGACUACGGCCGCAAGGCUAAAACUCAAAGGAAUUGACGGGGGCCCGCACAAGCGGUGGAGUAUGUGGCUUAAUUCGAUGCAACGCGAAGAACCUUACCUAGCCUUGACAUGCAUUAGACGAGACCUGAAAGGGUCUUUUCCUUCGGGACUGGUGCACAGGUGCUGCAUGGCUGUCGU
Molecule: ribosomal RNA, 264 nt
Filed under: uncultured bacterium
Lineage: Bacteria
Description: partial 16S ribosomal RNA
Rfam family: Bacterial small subunit ribosomal RNA
Source: RNAcentral